GAUGAAGAACGUAGCGAAAUGCGAUAAGUAAUGUGAAUUGCAGAAUUCAGUGAAUCAUCGAAUCUUUGAACGCACAUUGCGCCCGCCAGUAUUCUGCCGGGCAUGCCUGUCUGAGCGUCAUUUCAACCCUCAUGCCCCUAGGGCGUGGUGUUGGGGAUCGGCCAAAGCCCGCGAGGGACGGCCGGCCCCUAAAUCUAGUGGCGGACCCGUCGUGGCCUCCUCUGCGAAGUAGUGAUAUUCCGCAUCGGAGAGCGAUGAGCCCCUGCCGUUAAACCCCCAACUUUCCAAGGUUGACCUCAGAUCAGGUAGGAAUACCCGCUGAACUUAAGCAUAUCAAUAAGCGGAGGA
This 348-nucleotide unclassified non-coding RNA is filed under the name soil metagenome. Its description in RNAcentral is "partial contains 5.8S ribosomal RNA, internal transcribed spacer 2, and large subunit ribosomal RNA". The stretch from base 1 to 120 matches the Rfam family "5.8S ribosomal RNA", at positions 35 to 154 of the family's 154-position model. The record is from RNAcentral.